Molecule: ribosomal RNA, 383 nt
Filed under: uncultured eukaryote
Lineage: Eukaryota
Description: partial 18S ribosomal RNA
Rfam family: Eukaryotic small subunit ribosomal RNA
Source: RNAcentral
CAAUAGCGUAUAUUAAAGUUGUUGCAGUUAAAAAGCUCGUAGUUGGAUUUCUGGUGGGAGCGAUCGGUCUGGCGCUUAGCGCGAGUACUUGCAUCGUCUCCGGCCAUCCUUGGGGAGAGUCUGUCUGGCAUUAGGUUGUCGGGCAGAGGAUCCUCAUCGUUUACUGUGAAAAAAUUAGAGUGUUCAAAGCAGGCUUAUGCCGUUGAAUAUAUUAGCAUGGAAUAAUAAGAUAGGACUUUGGUACUAUUUUGUUGGUUUGCGCACCAAAGUAAUGAUUAAUAGGGACAGUUGGGGGUAUUCGUAUUCCGUUGUCAGAGGUGUAAUUCUUGGAUUUACGGAAGACGAACUACUGCGAAAGCAUUUACCAAGGAUGUUUUCAUUAA